AAAAUUGCUGGUCUCACAAAGAUCAUUUCAGCUCUAUCCGGGCCCACUGGACAGCUAACACCAGCAGAAUCAUUUUGGACCAAGAGGGUCAGCAAGAUGUUUUAGGAAUUAGUGAUAGGCUGGAUCACAGUUCCUGGAGAGGGGAGAUGAUAACCCUUUUUGAGAUAAAGGAACAGAGUGGAAUCUGAACUGCCUCUAGAGCUGCUUUCCCAGUCUCACAAGGAUUUUCUAAGCCCAGUCACUCUUGAUUUUCCAGAAAUGCUGUCGUAACUCAAAUGACAUUAUACGUUGAUCGAC
RNAcentral lists this long non-coding RNA (297 nucleotides) under Equus caballus (horse). Its description in RNAcentral is "lncRNA (ENSECAG00000029406.3)". The record is from RNAcentral. Lineage: Eukaryota; Metazoa; Chordata; Mammalia; Perissodactyla; Equidae.